This is a non-coding RNA of Schizosaccharomyces pombe (fission yeast), 224 nucleotides long. NCBI's taxonomy places the organism in Eukaryota, Fungi, Ascomycota, Schizosaccharomycetes, Schizosaccharomycetales, Schizosaccharomycetaceae. The record is from the annotation of a GenBank genome assembly.
AUGAAAUUGUGUUCGAAGUGUUAUGAACUUACAAAAAGUAGAAAAAAAUCUAGAAGAGGAAGGUAAAAAAAGAAAAAAAAGAAUCAAUGAAUCGAUAAAGAAUGAUUGUUAGAAUCAAAUUUCCCGUUUUCGAAUCGAAGAAGCCCAACAAGUAUUAACAUGAAAUCGUAGUUGAGAAUAAUGAUGAUGAAAAAGGAUUCGCCAAGACUAGUCAGCGUUCAAUU